Molecule: long non-coding RNA, 513 nt
Organism: Mauremys reevesii (Reeves's turtle)
Lineage: Eukaryota; Metazoa; Chordata; Testudines; Geoemydidae
Exons: 4
Source: RefSeq, a predicted model, not a curated record
CAUCACUCCCUGAAACUAAAAUAUCUGGACGAGAGAGACGGUGAACAGGACUGUCAUCACCAGGCUACUGAGAGCACCCCCUGUCUGUGACUCUGAGUUCCCGGCCGACUUCCAGCCAUGAAGAUCCUUUACCUGCUCUCUGCUGUUGUCUUCUUGGUGCUCCUGACUGCCCCAGGAUUCUCCCAGGCUAGAAUUUCCCGAAGUAAAUGUAGACGCCGUGGUGGUUCCUGUUACUUUAGGAGAUGUCCCUCUAAUUCUAUAUACAUUACAAGAUGCUGGAUUGGCUCUUGCUGUCAAAGGCAAUUUAUCAACUGAUUGUCUAGGCAGGAUCUCUGGGAAUCUGGCAGCCAGCCACUUGCUUCUAAAAUCAUCAGAUCCUGCUUCAGCGGAACCCUGGAGUGCUGCUUAUUUAGGCUGUAAAGAACCUUGUGAGCUGGAGAAAUUCCAGAAAGGAGCCCUUGUAUCACCAUAUCGUAUUUUUUACUCUUCUUUUAAUAAAAGCAAGCUGGCUUA